Molecule: transfer RNA, 85 nt
Filed under: Cytophagales bacterium
Lineage: Bacteria; Pseudomonadati; Bacteroidota; Cytophagia; Cytophagales
Description: tRNA-Leu
Rfam family: tRNA
About the family: Transfer RNA (tRNA) molecules are approximately 80 nucleotides in length. Their secondary structure includes four short double-helical elements and three loops (D, anti-codon, and T loops). Further hydrogen bonds mediate the characteristic L-shaped molecular structure. tRNAs have two regions of fundamental functional importance: the anti-codon, which is responsible for specific mRNA codon recognition, and the 3' end, to which the tRNAs corresponding amino acid is attached (by aminoacyl-tRNA synthetases). tRNAs cope with the degeneracy of the genetic code in two manners: having more than one tRNA (with a specific anti-codon) for a particular amino acid; and 'wobble' base-pairing, i.e. permitting non-standard base-pairing at the 3rd anti-codon position.
Source: RNAcentral
GCCGGAGUGGUGGAAUUGGUAGACACGAGGGACUUAAAAUCCCUUGGGCACUGCGCCCGUAUGGGUUCGAGUCCCAUCUCUGGUA